This is a non-coding RNA of Acanthosepion pharaonis, 110 nucleotides long. The record is from the annotation of a GenBank genome assembly. NCBI's taxonomy places the organism in Eukaryota, Metazoa, Mollusca, Cephalopoda, Sepiida, Sepiidae.
CCAUACCAAGUUAAAAAAAAAACCGGUUCUCGUCUGAUCAUAAGUUAAGCAAUGUCGAGCCAGAUCAGUACCUAGAUGGGUGACCGAUUGGGAAUACCAGGUGUUGUAAG